Molecule: non-coding RNA, 95 nt
Organism: Vicugna pacos (alpaca)
Lineage: Eukaryota; Metazoa; Chordata; Mammalia; Artiodactyla; Camelidae
Source: RefSeq, a predicted model, not a curated record
CCAUGGGGUGCACAUCCUCUCGAGAGGAGUGAUGGGAUGGGGAAAGGAUGCAGGGUCUCAGGAUGGGGACGGAAGCGCGGUUCAGCAGUGAAUGA